GACGAACGCUGGCGGCGUGCUUAACACAUGCAAGUCGAACGGAAAGGCCCUGCUUUUGUGGGGUGCUCGAGUGGCGAACGGGUGAGUAACACGUGAGUAACCUGCCCUUGACUUUGGGAUAACUUCAGGAAACUGGGGCUAAUACCGGAUAGGAGCUCCUGCUGCAUGGUGGGGGUUGGAAAGUUUCGGCGGUUGGGGAUGGACUCGCGGCUUAUCAGCUUGUUGGUGGGGUAGUGGCUUACCAAGGCUUUGACGGGUAGCCGGCCUGAGAGGGUGACCGGCCACAUUGGGACUGAGAUACGGCCCAGACUCCUACGGGAGGCAGCAGUGGGGAAUAUUGCACAAUGGGCGGAAGCCUGAUGCAGCAACGCCGCGUGCGGGAUGACGGCCUUCGGGUUGUAAACCGCUUUCGCCUGUGACGAAGCGUGAGUGACGGUAAUGGGUAAAGAAGCACCGGCUAACUACGCGCCAGCAGCCGCGGUGAUACGUAGGGUGCGAGCGUUGUCCGGAUUUAUUGGGCGUAAAGGGCUCGUAGGUGGUUGAUCGCGUCGGAAGUGUAAUCUUGGGGCUUAACCCUGAGCGUGCUUUCGAUACGGGUUGACUUGAGGAAAGUAGGGGAGAAUGGGAUUCCUGGUGGAGCGGUGGAAUGCGCAGAUAUCAGGAGGAACACCAGUGGCGAAGGCGGUUCUCUGGGCCUUUCCUGACGCUGAGGAGCGAAAGCGUGGGGAGCGAACAGGCUUAGAUACCCUGGUAGUCCACGCUGUAAACGGUGGGUACUAGGUGUGGGGUCCAUUCCACGGGUUCCGUGCCGUAGCUAACGCUUUAAGUACCCCGCCUGGGGAGUACGGCCGCAAGGCUAAAACUCAAAGGAAUUGACGGGGCCCCGCACAAGCGGCGGAGCAUGCGGAUUAAUUCGAUGCAACGCGUAGAACCUUACCUGGGUUUGACAUGGAUCGGGAGUGCUCAGAGAUGGGUGUGCCUCUUUUGGGGUCGGUUCACAGGUGGUGCAUGGCUGUCGUCAGCUCGUGUCGUGAGAUGUUGGGUUAAGUCCCGCAACGAGCGCAACCCUUGUUCACUGUUGCCAGCACGUUAUGGUGGGGACUCAGUGGAGACCGCCGGGGUCAACUCGGAGGAAGGUGGGGAUGACGUCAAGUCAUCAUGCCCCUUAUGUCCAGGGCUUCACGCAUGCUACAAUGGCUGGUACAGAGAGUGGCGAGCCUGUGAGGGUGAGCGAAUCUCGGAAAGCCGGUCUCAGUUCGGAUUGGGGUCUGCAACUCGACCUCAUGAAGUCGGAGUCGCUAGUAAUCGCAGAUCAGCAACGCUGCGGUGAAUACGUUCUCGGGGCU
RNAcentral lists this ribosomal RNA (1346 nucleotides) under uncultured bacterium. RNAcentral describes it as "partial 16S ribosomal RNA". It matches the Rfam family "Bacterial small subunit ribosomal RNA", at positions 28 to 1381 of the family's 1533-position model. The record is from RNAcentral.